GGGGGCCGAGGCGGGGAAACCGCGGGGGGGAGGAGACCCGAGGCGCAGCGAGUGGCGCCGGAGGGGAGGGGCUGGCGGCCUCCCGCUGCCCACCUGGGCUCGCGCCCCUCUGCGGCGCCCGCUCUUCAGCUGCCUGGGACCCAGAUUACCCGUGUUAGCUCCCACCCCCUCCAUUUCGAAACAGCCUCGCGCGGGGGGGUGGGGGGCCGUGUGUGUGCCAUUAUUGCUCCCUGAAAUUUGCAGACCCGAGAGGAAAGCGAUUCGCAGCGUCGCUCGUAUUUGAAUCGAAACCCAGAGCAAUUUGGGAAGAAACUCGGGGCACAUUUGCAAAAGGACAGCUAGCUUGAAAAGCCGAGGCCAGAGCAGGCUGCUCACCAAGGCCGCUCCGCGCCCACCCCACCCCUGCUCGCCGCCUCUCGUAAAUCACUAGGGGCACAGUCCUUGCAUUGGUGACUUUUGAACAAGCCCCUCCUCGGCAACCAAAGUUCGUUCCGAGUAUGAGGGGGGAAAGAGGGGUGGGGGAGGGACAUUUGGAACGCAGGAGAAAUGCAGUCCGAUCGGAAUCGCCAGACAAGCACCAAAAAAAGCGUGUGGAUUCCCCUUCUGCAAGGUCUCGCUGCGCCCACAUCUCGGAAGAAACGAAGAGGAAAACAGAAGAGCCCUCGCAGUUAAAACCCAGCCAUUUCCAGACUCACCCAGCAAUUCCAAAGCCUUUUGAUCAAACCAGUCACAGUGUGAUGUCAUCUCCACGGAGGCUCUGCCCCAUACAAGUUUCAGGUUCCACUGGAGCUGCCAGCACAGAGGAAGGAAUUCAGUAAUGGUGUGUAAAUAAUAGGUGGCAUACUCUGGAAGAUAGAAACCACACAGUGGCCACACCUACAGAAACUAUACUUGGAAUGGAAGCCACAGUGAAAGAAUCUGGUGGAAAGCCUCUGUUUCUGAUGACAACAUGGCGCUGCCUUGACAGCUCUAAACUGUCUACCUCUGGAUUUCUUUUAUGUAAAAUAUAAUAAAUGGUGUCUAUGCUAUUUACAACUCUGUUCUUUUGGAUUUUCUCUUAUUACCAAUUUCAGAACUUCUUCCAAUCAGUUUGGGCUGUUUAAGUCUAAUUAUUGAAACACUUUAAUGCAUCUUUAACAAUGGACAAUGUAACUCUCCCACAAAUUUCUUUAUACUAUUUUAGCCCAGUUUUUCAAUUGUAUGAACUUCAAUAAUAUUUUGUAAUCACAAAACAUUUAAAAUUUUUAAUUGUGAUUUUAUAGUUAUUUUUGUAAUUAUAUUUUAUUUUAUUGUAAUUAUAAUUGUUUUUAUUAUAAUCAGAUUACUUUUUGAGCCAUAUUAGGGAGAACUAUUAUACUUACACUAUUAAUUUUUCUCCAUCAGAGACAAAAUACCUUCAUUUGCUAGUCUUUUUUGUACUCCAACGACUUUUUGUAGUUUACUCUAUUUAGAUUCUGCACAUUAUAGGGCAUUUAUAUUUUUUGUUGUUACUAAGAAUAAAAUAUUUUCGCUUAGAUUUUUCAAAUGGACUGUUGCUGGUACAUAAGGUACUAUCAAAGUUUGCCUUAAUGUGAUAUUUAGACAUUUUUCUGGGUUUAUUUAUGAGUUUUGAUUAUGUUUUAAUUGAUUCUCUUGCAUUUUCUUAGUAAACAAUAACAUUAUCUGAAAAUUAUAAUAAUUUUACCACUUAUUUCCAAUAGUUAUUUGUCUGGGUUGUUUUUGUCAUACUUUUGCAUCGAUUAGCAUAUCUAGAUAAUAUUUGAUAAUGGUAAUAGUGUACUCCUUGUGUUCUCGGCUUUAAAGGUAAAUUCCAUUUUUCUGAUAUUCAAUAGGAUGAUGGUUUAAGAUACUACUAUUCUUUACUGUAUUAGAGAUGAAUUGUUCUGUCCUAGUUUAUCAUGUUUUCCCUUGUACUGAAUAGAUGAAAGAAAACAUUCUACAACAUAAUCAUUUUGGAACUUCUACUGGAUGAAUAUUAAUUAUUCUGACUCUCUUUCAUUUUAUCUUACACCUUGUCUCAUCCAAUAAAGAUUUUUUUUGAGUUGCAGUUCCUUUUUGCUUUUCAUUGCUUUAGAUAUUUUAUUCGCCAUCUACUUGAGCAUGACCAAUCAACAUAAACUUUUACUGAGUUAAUUUUUUCCCCAAAUUUUCUUCAGUAUCCCAAUCUGAUGCCUCUGUUCAGUGUUGGUUAGCAUUUU
RNAcentral lists this long non-coding RNA (2198 nucleotides) under Canis lupus familiaris (dog). RNAcentral describes it as "lncRNA (ENSCAFG00000059133.1)". Lineage: Eukaryota; Metazoa; Chordata; Mammalia; Carnivora; Canidae. The record is from RNAcentral.